This 275-nucleotide ribosomal RNA is filed under the name uncultured bacterium. RNAcentral's name for it is "partial 16S ribosomal RNA". It matches the Rfam family "Bacterial small subunit ribosomal RNA", at positions 523 to 796 of the family's 1533-position model. The record is from RNAcentral.
AUACGUAGGGGGCAAGCGUUGUCCGGAAUUACUGGGCGUAAAGAGCUCGUAGGCGGCUCAGCAAGUCGGUCGUGAAAGCCCGAGGCUCAACCUCGGAACUGCGGUCGAUACUGCUGUGGCUAGAGUCCGGUAGAGGAGAGUGGAAUUCCCGGUGUAGCGGUGGAAUGCGCAGAUAUCGGGAGGAACACCAGUGGCGAAGGCGGCUUCCUGGCCUAAAACUGACGCUGAGGUGCGAAAGCGUGGGUAGCAAACGGGAUUAGAAACCCCAGUAGUCC